CCUACGGGAGGCAGCAGUGGGGGAUAUUGGACAAUGGGGGAAACCCUGAUCCAGCGACGCCGCGUGAGUGAAGAAGUCUUUCUGUAUGUAAAGCUCUGUCAGCAGGGAAGAAAGACAUGACGGUCCCUGACCAACAAGCCCCGGCUAACUACGUGCCAGCAGCCGCGUGAAUACGUAGGGGGCAAGCGUUAUCCGGAAUUACUGGGUGUAAAGGGAGCGUAGACGGUUAAGUAAGUCUGGAGUGAAAGGCCGGGGCCCAACCCCGGGACUGCUCUGGAAACUAUUGAACUGGAGUGCAGGAGAGGUAAGCGGAAGUCCUAGUGUAGCGGUGAAAUGCGUAGAUAUUAGGAGGAACACCAGUGGCGAAGGCGGCUUACUGGACUGUAACUGACGUUGAGGCGCGAAAGCGUGGGGAGCAAACAGGAUUAGAUACCCCGGUAGUC
This 443-nucleotide ribosomal RNA is filed under the name uncultured bacterium. RNAcentral's name for it is "partial 16S ribosomal RNA". It matches the Rfam family "Bacterial small subunit ribosomal RNA", at positions 338 to 795 of the family's 1533-position model. The record is from RNAcentral.